GAAAUGCGAUACGUAAUGCGAAUUGCAGAAUUCAGUGAAUCAUCGAAUCUUUGAACGCAAGUUGCGCUUUCGAGAGCCCUCGGAAGCAUGCCUCUCUGAGUAUCGGUUUCUACAUCUCACACUUGCUUGUGUGGAGAAUGGGAGUUGCUUGUUUUUGGCAUCUCUUGAAGUCAGCACGUCGGCCAAAGUCCAUCGGGUUCUUGGAACGAUAAUCCGUCAUGGCGCCAGAAAACCAUACACAAGAUCUCAGAUGAGGUAAGACUACCCGCCGAAUUUAA
Molecule: unclassified non-coding RNA, 278 nt
Filed under: uncultured fungus
Lineage: Eukaryota; Fungi
Description: sequence contains ITS1
Rfam family: 5.8S ribosomal RNA (bases 1-105)
Source: RNAcentral